UACCUAGCAUAGCAGCACCCCAACCGCACAAACUUUAAUAUUACAUACCCCCUUUUAUUGUAAGAAAAAAUUAAGAGUACUUAGAAAAAUAUACUAAGGUGACUCCAGGAUAAAUGGACAAUCUGAGCUGGCCUUAACCUCCAGCUUUGGAUGGUGUUUCAAUCUCCUCUACACUGUUUUAAUGGGACUGAUGUUUUAGGUCUUGUUUUUAUGAGGGUCUAGAUAUGUAGCCUAGAUUAGACUUGAAUGCAAUCCUCCCUAAUCUGGCUACUGAGAUUGCAGCAUAAACCUGGAACCUUGUUUACAUUGACUUUCCUUUGUUUGGUCUGUAUAGCCUGGGGGUAUCCCUGCCUGGCCUUUGCUGUCUCCUUUGUGGGGAGAGACUUGCCCCUGAUUGCCUGUCUUUAAUUCACUUUUAAAAUUUCAGGCUGUAAACUUGAACACGUUUGGCUUCUUCCUUUUUUGUUUGUUUUCCUCCACCCCCUGUUGUUUUAACCCAGCCGAGUUGGGUUAUUUUCUUUAGGAAAUCCAGGACUGGAGUGUGAAGUCUGGAGUUUGAAAGAAGGGUGUUCUUAUCAGUGACUGAUUGUCCUGUCUUCCUAACGUGAGGUGGUCAAGUCAGAUUAGGAGGCCCAAUACACUUUCUACUGGGUUUCUGAAGAGUGGACGAACUCCCCGAUGUAUACGUUGUUCGUAGAUGGAGUGCGAGAUCCAAUGGUGCCUAAAGGUACCAUGACCUCACAGGACUGGUGUUUGUUAGUUUUGGGGGGUUUUUUUGGUGGGGGGAUGUUGAUAGCAAGACCAAGAUUUAUACCAAUCAUUUUCACCUGAACCUUGGAAUUAUUUAAGGAAUAGCUUGAAGAGACUAAACAACAUGAAGGAUCAUGUGGCCACAGGCAACCAGGACUCAAGCUAAGGGCUCCAGGUAACUGUACAGAAAACACAGCACAGGUGCCAAAAAUCCACAACUUAUGUAAACUGUAGAGAUGAUUCAGUCAAUAAAGUACUUGCCCUGU
This 1016-nucleotide long non-coding RNA is filed under the name Rattus norvegicus (Norway rat). RNAcentral's name for it is "long non-coding RNA NONRATT023952". Lineage: Eukaryota; Metazoa; Chordata; Mammalia; Rodentia; Muridae. The record is from RNAcentral.